AGCGAACGCUGGCGGCAGGCCUAACACAUGCAAGUCGAACGAACUCUUCGGAGUUAGUGGCGGACGGGUGAGUAACACGUGGGAACGUGCCUUUUGGUUCGGAAUAACUCAGGGAAACUUGUGCUAAUACCGAAUGUGCCCUUCGGGGGAAAGAUUUAUCGCCAUAGAGCGGCCCGCGUCUGAUUAGCUGGUUGGUGAGGUAACGGCUCACCAAGGCGACGAUCAGUAGCUGGUCUGAGAGGAAGACCAGCCACACUGGGACGGAGACACGGCCCAGACUCCUACGGGAGGCAGCAGUGGGGAAUCUAGCGAAAUGGGCGAAAGCCUGACGGAGCCAUGCCGCGUGAAUGAUGAAGGUCUUAGGAUUGUAAAAUUCUUUCACCGGGGACGAUAAUGACGGUACCCGGAGAAGAAGCCCCGGCUAACUUCGUG
RNAcentral lists this ribosomal RNA (432 nucleotides) under uncultured bacterium. Its description in RNAcentral is "partial 16S ribosomal RNA". It matches the Rfam family "Bacterial small subunit ribosomal RNA", at positions 29 to 507 of the family's 1533-position model. The record is from RNAcentral.